CCGCACGGGUGAGUAACACGUAUCCAACCUGCCGUCUACUCUUGGCCAGCCUUCUGAAAGGAAGAUUAAUCCAGGAUGGCAUCAUGAGUUCACAUGUCGCAUGAUUAAAGGUAUUUUCCGGUAGACGAUGGGGAUGCGUUCCAUUAGAUAGUAGGCGGGGUAACGGCCCACCUAGUCAACGAUGGAUAGGGGUUCUGAGAGGAAGGUCCCCCACAUUGGAACUGAGACACGGUCCAA
Molecule: ribosomal RNA, 237 nt
Filed under: uncultured bacterium
Lineage: Bacteria
Description: partial 16S ribosomal RNA
Rfam family: Bacterial small subunit ribosomal RNA
Source: RNAcentral